RNAcentral lists this ribosomal RNA (418 nucleotides) under uncultured bacterium. Its description in RNAcentral is "bacterial SSU rRNA". It matches the Rfam family "Bacterial small subunit ribosomal RNA", at positions 9 to 410 of the family's 1533-position model. The record is from RNAcentral.
GAGUUUGAUCGUGGCUCAGGAUGAACGCUGGCGGCGUGCCUAACACAUGCAAGUCGAACGGAGUUAUGCAGAGGAAGUUUUCGGAUGGAAUCGGCGUAACUUAGUGGCGGACGGGUGAGUAACGCGUGGGAAACCUGCCCUGUACCGGGGGAUAACACUUAGAAAUAGGUGCUAAUACCGCAUAAGCGCACAGCUUCACAUGAAGCAGUGUGAAAAACUCCGGUGGUACAGGAUGGUCCCGCGUCUGAUUAGCCAGUUGGCAGGGUAACGGCCUACCAAAGCGACGAUCAGUAGCCGGCCUGAGAGGGUGAACGGCCACAUUGGGACUGAGACACGGCCCAAACUCCUACGGGAGGCAGCAGUGGGGAAUAUUGCACAAUGGGGGAAACCCUGAUGCAGCGACGCCGCGUGAGUGAAG